GGGUGUUGCCGAUCACGAUCCAAGGGUUCAGGGAGGUUUUUUGGCAUUGUGAGGAGACUGUACUCCUAUUCUUUCACAAAUUUAAGGCUUUAAAAGCCCUGUUCGAUGAACAGAGAGCUGUGUGUGUGUGCGGCUUUGUUCGGCAGUGAACCCAGAGAGUAGAGGCGAGGGACCAAUAGGAGCAGGAGCAAGAGGGCUUCAGGUAGACUGUUGGACAACGGACAGCGGACGCUUCAGAGGUUCAGGGGAUCUUCCUAAAGUGAGC
This 265-nucleotide long non-coding RNA is filed under the name Elaeis guineensis (African oil palm). Its description in RNAcentral is "long non-coding RNA (EGUI_LNC032411)". Lineage: Eukaryota; Viridiplantae; Streptophyta; Magnoliopsida; Arecales; Arecaceae. The record is from RNAcentral.